RNAcentral lists this long non-coding RNA (267 nucleotides) under Pan troglodytes (chimpanzee). Its description in RNAcentral is "long non-coding RNA NONPTRT004362". Lineage: Eukaryota; Metazoa; Chordata; Mammalia; Primates; Hominidae. The record is from RNAcentral.
AGUAAAGAUUUUCAAAAUCCCAAAGUAGUGCCUGGGUUUUCUGAUUUUAUUUGAAAUGAAUGGUCUCCCAAGUCAUAAAUUCUCCAUAUCAUCAACUAGUUCUACUCGCGAAAACAACAGAAAGACUCCUGUCUAAAUAUGCCUAGGUGUGAGUUAUGAGCUAAACUGUAUCUGCUGUCUUCUAAAAUUUAUAUAUUGAAGUCCUACUUUUCAGUACGCCAGAAUGUGACUGUAUUUGUAGAUAGAGCAUCUUAAGAGGUAGUUGAA